This 443-nucleotide ribosomal RNA is filed under the name uncultured bacterium. RNAcentral describes it as "partial 16S ribosomal RNA". It matches the Rfam family "Bacterial small subunit ribosomal RNA", at positions 338 to 795 of the family's 1533-position model. The record is from RNAcentral.
CCUACGGGUGGCAGCAGUGGGGAAUAUUGCGCAAUGGGGGCAACCCUGACGCAGCAACGCCGCGUGAUUGAAGAAGGCCUUCGGGUUGUAAAGAUCUUUAAUUGGGGACGAAAACAAUGACGGUACCCAAAGAAUAAGCUCCGGCUAACUACGUGCCAGCAGCCGCGGUAAUACGUAGGGAGCAAGCGUUAUCCGGAUUUACUGGGUGUAAAGGGCGAGUAGGCGGGCUGGCAAGUUGGGAGUGAAAUCCCGGGGCUUAACCCCGGAACUGCUUUCAAAACUGCUGGUCUUGAGUGAUGGAGAGGCAGGCGGAAUUCCGUGUGUAGCGGUGAAAUGCGUAGAUAUACGGAGGAACACCAGUGGCGAAGGCAGCAUACCGGCGCCCGACUGACGCUGAAGCACGAAAGCGUGGGUAUCGAACAGGAUUAGAUACCCCAGUAGUC